Molecule: ribosomal RNA, 496 nt
Filed under: uncultured bacterium
Lineage: Bacteria
Description: partial 16S ribosomal RNA
Rfam family: Bacterial small subunit ribosomal RNA
Source: RNAcentral
GAUGAGCGCUGGCGGCGUGCCUAAUACAUGCAAGUCGAGCGAACAGACGAGGAGCUUGCUCCUCUGACGUUAGCGGCGGACGGGUGAGUAACACGUGGAUAACCUACCUAUAAGACUGGGAUAACUUCGGGAAACCGGAGCUAAUACCGGAUAAUAUAUUGAACCGCAUGGUUCAAUAGUGAAAGACGGUUUUGCUGUCACUUAUAGAUGGAUCCGCGCCGCAUUAGCUAGUUGGUAAGGUAACGGCUUACCAAGGCAACGAUGCGUAGCCGACCUGAGAGGGUGAUCGGCCACACUGGAACUGAGACACGGUCCAGACUCCUACGGGAGGCAGCAGUAGGGAAUCUUCCGCAAUGGGCGAAAGCCUGACGGAGCAACGCCGCGUGAGUGAUGAAGGUCUUCGGAUCGUAAAACUCUGUCAUUAGGGAAGAACAAAUGUGUAAGUAACUAUGCACGUCUGGACGGUACCUAAUCAGAAAGCCACGGCGAACUACGU